This 667-nucleotide ribosomal RNA is filed under the name Velazquezella soli. Its description in RNAcentral is "bacterial SSU rRNA". It matches the Rfam family "Bacterial small subunit ribosomal RNA", at positions 18 to 733 of the family's 1533-position model. Lineage: Bacteria; Pseudomonadati; Pseudomonadota; Alphaproteobacteria; Hyphomicrobiales; Rhizobiaceae. The record is from RNAcentral.
CUUGGNUCAGAACGAACGCUGGCGGCAGGCUUAACACAUGCAAGUCGAACGCUCCGCAAGGGGAGUGGCAGACGGGUGAGUAAUGCGUGGGAACANACCUUUAUNUUGGGAACAACUCCGGGAAACUGGAGCUAAUACCGAAUGUGCCCUUCGGGGGAAAGAUUUAUCGGAUAAGGAUUGGCCCGCGUUGGAUUAGCUAGUUGGUGGGGUAAAGGCCUACCAAGGGGACGAUCCAUAGCUGGUNUGAGAGGAUGAUCAGCCACAUUGGGANUGAGACCCGGCCCAAAUUCUUACCGGAGGCAGCAGUUGGGAAUAUUGGACAAUGGGCGCAAGCCUGAUCCAGCCAUGUCGUGUGAGUGAUGAAGGCNUUAGGNUUGUAAAGCUCUUUCAUCGGAGANNAUAAUGACGGUAUCCGGACAAGAAGCCCCGGCUAACUUCGUGCCAGCAGCCGCGGUAAUACGAAGGGGGCUAGCGUUGUUCGGAAUUACUGGGCGUAAAGCGCACGUAGGCGGACAUUUAAGUCAGAGGUGAAAUCCCGGGGCUCAACCUCGGAACUGCCUUUGAAACUGGGUGUCUUGAGUGUGGAAGAGGUCAGUGGAAUUGCGAGUGUAGAGGUNAAAUUCGUAGAUAUUCGCAGGAACACCAGGGCGAAGGCGGNCUUNNUGUC